GGAUGUGAGGUUGAUCUGGCUGUGACAUCUGUCACCCCACUGAUUGCCAGUGUUGACUCAGUUUGUCUGGCUAUGCGUGUGUCCCCCUCUUCCCUCACCACUCCAUGUGCAUCUCUCCUGAAGCUGCUCACUCAGUCUAAGAGGAGGAUGCCCCAAUAGAGGAUGAACAUUUCCUUGGUCAAGGGUAUAUGAGUAGCUGCCACUCCCCUGCUAGAAGAUCCAAAAUUUGAUUUUUUUUCAUUGAAAUAGGAAAAAAUACGUAGGAGGGCUAUAACUAGGUUCAGUGGGAUCUCCAAUCCUAGCU
Molecule: small nuclear RNA, 304 nt
Filed under: Octodon degus (degu)
Lineage: Eukaryota; Metazoa; Chordata; Mammalia; Rodentia; Octodontidae
Description: 7SK RNA (ENSODEG00000023896.1)
Rfam family: 7SK RNA
About the family: 7SK was discovered as an abundant small nuclear RNA in the mid-70s but a possible function has only recently been suggested.
Source: Rfam by way of RNAcentral